AUGUAGAUGGAUGAUUGCGUGAUAUUGCAUAAUAUUAGGACUGUCCAUGGGAAAGUUAAGGAUAGCUUCAAAGGAUGGAUUAAGCGGAUUUUAUUGGGUAUAACGAGCCAUCCUGUGAAGACUUGGUACAAGAGAAGGUCUUCAGUCAAGUUUUAAACGUCAUAAAGGUUGGGUUGUCUAAUAUACGGUUUUCCUUUACUUUUGUGGAAGAGGGAGGCAUGCAAAUAUAUUUUGGUGGUCUUCUGACUUUCUUCUAAGAGAUUAAGGAGGUAAAAAAGAAUGAUCUUGUAGUUAUGAUGAUAACUUUUAGUUAUCUUGUGAUGGACUCCCAAGACUAAUUUGGAAUAAAGAAACUUGGGAGAAGAUCUUAGAAGACUAGGGUUCUCUUAUAAUGGAACUCCUGGAAUUUGUGGUGGAAGGAACUUGUGCCACACAAGAAUCUGUGUAUAUUGAUAUUUUGGAGACUUUGACGGUCAUUUUGGAGGGGAGACGUUAUUGGGUGAAGAUUAGGGAGGCUAAAUCUUGUUUUCCUGUAGACGAAAAUUAUCAAAAGGGAAACACAUAGGAUGAAGGCGAAUGAGCACCCUGAAGCUUUUGUAUCCUCUGAUGGAACAUCUCUACGUGGAGUGAUUUUUCAAUCUCGUCAAUAUCUAUUAUAUAUAAUGCUGCAACAUGGGGUUUCGUGACAGUUUCUGUGAGCCAUUUUAUUCAGCCCGUUACAUCUUCAUUAAACCCCGUUAUCUUUUUACCUUCUUCAAACUCCUGGGCUUCCCCGCAUACUUCUCUCGUUCUUUUAUAUCUUUGUGGCUCCUCCACUCCAGACUGGAGUUCUCUAGACAAAUUGUCGUUAAGAUCAUCAGUAUCUUGAUUUACAACCUUUUAAUAGUUCUAUUCCAUAGCUCAUGCGUGGAAGGCUCCAUCGUCUGAUCCGGAUUUGGAGAAAAAAGAGGACACCAAAUGAACAAUUAUAGAUGUUUUUGCAGUGUUGCUCUUCUGUAACAGACUUUCAGAUUCAUAUGGGCUCUUAAAUAAACCGAAUUUGAAGGCUGAAUCCAAUCAAUCAGUUGUUUCUUCAGUUAUUCCAAGCCAACAACAUAUGUUUCAAGGUGGAGCCGAGAGUCCCCUAAAUGCUUUCAAGAUAUUUUCUUCUGAUGUGUGUUUUUAAAAUUUUUGUAAGAAAUCACUAAGAUGCCAAAUCACAAGAAUUGUGUAAUUCUAACUAUCGCCAAUAUCUUUCACCUGUUUUUCUGUUUAAUGUAUUAUUGGCUUCUCUGAAAUACACAUUAUGUGUCUUGAUAUAGUCAUGGUUUAUAUCGUUGGAUGCAGCGGAUAAACGUGUCUCAGUGGAGUUUGUUUUGCUUGAGCAAAAAUCAAGUCAUCUCAGUGAUCUACCUGAAACUAUCAACAAAUUUGAUAAGCAAAUCAGUGAACUUGAGAACUACUCAUUCCGAGCAUUUUUUUACAAGUUUGGCACUUUGUAUUUGGAUUUUAGUUAUUUGACAUGAUUCGGGAACCUACUAUUGGUCAGAAGAUGGAAAUGUAUUUCGCAUUCUGGUCAAACAAUGCCUGCAAGACUUGAAGGAUGACAUGGAGGAACAACUACAAUCUCAAUUCAUUUUUUCCAAGAGAGAUCUUAUAGGCUCUCUGAAGUAGAUAUAUUGCAGCCUGUGCUCAUCCUACAGUCCCAUGCUUGAUAGAUUCACACCCUGUCAGGAAGGGAGACACCUUCAGUUGCUGGAAUUAUAAAUCCUGCUGCUGAGGAGAGACACCUUCAGUUGCUGGAAUUAUAAAUCCUGGUGCUGAGGGAUUUCAGUAACUAUUUUUUGGCCAGGAAGAAACUAUUGUACCAGUACAUUGAACGUACGUUCUCCGCUAAGAACAUCAUUCGUUCUUCGAUAAUAUUCCUUCGUAGGCACCAUCAUCAGGAACUGGUUUCCAUUUGUAUAGAUUGACAAUGUUUUACAGAUUUUUUUUUUUUGUCAGAUAAUGGAUUUUAACAUUGUGGUGAAUGACAACUAGCAACCUAAAAUUCUAUCGUGGUCCUUUCAAGA
Molecule: long non-coding RNA, 2051 nt
Organism: Daucus carota subsp. sativus
Lineage: Eukaryota; Viridiplantae; Streptophyta; Magnoliopsida; Apiales; Apiaceae
Exons: 5
Source: RefSeq, a predicted model, not a curated record